GUUGAUUGGAGUUCACAUACUUGUUAGAAGCUUCAAAAGUUGAUUUGGAAGUGUUUGGAGUGAAAAAAAAUUUAUUUGUUCACAAGAGGGCAUUCUGAGAUUUUACUAGUAUAAAAUUAUUUUGUUGAUUUUAAGCACAUGGAGACUCUUUUUUUUUGAUAUUUUUUUGUAGACCUCUUCUAAGACAUGGCUUCAAGUAAGGGUGAAGGUUUGAGAGUGAUUGAAAAGUUUAGAGGUGACUAUUUCUACCAUUGGAAGGUCAAAAUAGAGCUUUUGUUGGCAACUUUGGACCUU
RNAcentral lists this long non-coding RNA (294 nucleotides) under Physcomitrium patens. RNAcentral's name for it is "long non-coding RNA (PPAT_LNC012196)". Lineage: Eukaryota; Viridiplantae; Streptophyta; Bryopsida; Funariales; Funariaceae. The record is from RNAcentral.